RNAcentral lists this ribosomal RNA (448 nucleotides) under uncultured bacterium. RNAcentral describes it as "partial 16S ribosomal RNA". It matches the Rfam family "Bacterial small subunit ribosomal RNA", at positions 29 to 523 of the family's 1533-position model. The record is from RNAcentral.
AACGAACGCUGGCGGCAGGCUUAACACAUGCAAGUCGAACGAGGUAGCAAUACCUAGUGGCGCACGGGUGAGUAACACGUGGGAAUCUCCCUUUCAGUACGGGGUAACGGCGGGAAACUGCCGCUAAUACCGUAUAAACCUCCGGGUUAAAGAUUUAUCUCUGAAAGAUGGGCCCGCGUCAGAGUAGCUAGUCGGUGGGGUAACGGCCUACCAAGGCUCCGAUCUGUAGCUGGUCUUAGAGGACGAUCAGCCACACUGGAACUGAGACACGGUCCAGACGCCUACAGGAGGCAGCAGUGGGGAAUAUUGGACAAUGGGGGAAACCCUGAUCCAGCCAUGCCGCGUGAGUGAUGAAGGCCUUCGGGUUGUAAAGCUCUUUUGUUAGGGAAGACGAUGACUGUACCUAAAGAAUAAGCCCCGGCUAACUUCGUGCCAGCCGCCGCAGUAA